GACGAAGGAUGCAAGCGUUAUCCGGGUUCAUUGGGUUUAAAGGGAGCGUAGGUGGCCUUAUAAGUCAGUGGUGAAAUCUCUGGGCUUAACCCAGAAAUUGCCAUUGAUACUGUAGGGCUUGAGUACAGUUGCUGUGGGCGGAAUAUGACAUGUAGUGGUGAAAUACAUAGAGAUGUCAUAGAACACCGAUUGCGAAGGCAGCUCACAAAACUGUAACUGACACUGAGGCUCGAAAGUGCGGGGAUCAAACAGG
RNAcentral lists this ribosomal RNA (253 nucleotides) under uncultured bacterium. Its description in RNAcentral is "partial 16S ribosomal RNA". It matches the Rfam family "Bacterial small subunit ribosomal RNA", at positions 524 to 776 of the family's 1533-position model. The record is from RNAcentral.